GACGAACGCUGGCGGCGUGCCUAAUACAUGCAAGUCGAACGCUGAAGCUUGGUGCUUGCACCGAGCGGAUGAGUUGCGAACGGGUGAGUAACGCGUAGGUAACCUGCCUGGUAGCGGGGGAUAACUAUUGGAAACGAUAGCUAAUACCGCAUAAUAGUAGAUGUUGCAUGACAUUUGCUUAAAAGGUGCAAUUGCAUCACUACCAGAUGGACCUGCGUUGUAUUAGCUAGUUGGUGAGGUAACGGCUCACCAAGGCAACGAUACAUAGCCGACCUGAGAGGGUGAUCGGCCACACUGGGACUGAGACACGGCCCAGACUCCUACGGGAGGCAGCAGUAGGGAAUCUUCGGCAAUGGACGGAAGUCUGACCGAGCAACGCCGCGUGAGGGAAGAAGGGUUUCGGAUCGUAAAGCUCUGUUGUAAGAGAAGAACGAGUGUGAGAGUGGAAAGUUCACACUGUGACGGUAUCUUACCAGAAAGGGACGGCUAACUACGUG
Molecule: ribosomal RNA, 497 nt
Filed under: uncultured bacterium
Lineage: Bacteria
Description: partial 16S ribosomal RNA
Rfam family: Bacterial small subunit ribosomal RNA
Source: RNAcentral